Molecule: long non-coding RNA, 184 nt
Organism: Octopus sinensis (East Asian common octopus)
Lineage: Eukaryota; Metazoa; Mollusca; Cephalopoda; Octopoda; Octopodidae
Exons: 3
Source: RefSeq, a predicted model, not a curated record
ACAGAGAGAGUAAUAAAUUAUGCGAUCUUUCGUUACAAGAACACACGACUGCUAGUUACAAACCACGUGAGGUUUAUUUACAUUUGUGAAUAUGAAAGUUGAUUUCCGUAAUUUUUAAAAUAUUUUUUUACAUAUUAGGUUGGUGGGAAAUAGGAUCUUUUGAAGUCGGCGUGAAAGCUAAAGA